CUCACACCUGUGCACCCUCUGUAGUUCUAUGGUCUGGGGGGCCCUGCCUCCCUUCUGUGGUUCUGCAUAUUUACACACACACUGUAACAAAGUCUUAUGGAAUGUACAUCGCGUUUAACGCAAUACAAUACAACUUUCAGCAACGGAUCUCUUGGCUCUCGCAUCGAUGAAGAACGCAGCGAAAUGCGAUAAGUAAUGUGAAUUGCAGAAUUCAGUGAAUCAUCGAAUCUUUGAACGCACCUUGCGCCCCUUGGCUAUUCCGAAGGGCAUGCCUGUUUGAGUAUCAUGAACACCUCAACUCCCGUGGUUCGCCAUGGUGAGCUUGGACUUUGGAGGUUUUGCUGGCCCAUGGUCAGCUCCUCUCAAAUGAAUUAGCCUGCCAGUGUUUGGUGGCAUCACAGGUGUGAUAAAUAUCUACGCUUGCGAUUGCCCACCAGGUAACCUUCAGCAAUGGGGGUUCGCUGGGGCUCAUAGACGUCUCUCCCUCGGCGAGGACAGUUUUUUUAAC
This 508-nucleotide small RNA is filed under the name Tomentella sp. 3 g2-7-1. RNAcentral's name for it is "eukaryotic LSU rRNA". The stretch from base 132 to 286 matches the Rfam family "5.8S ribosomal RNA". Lineage: Eukaryota; Fungi; Basidiomycota; Agaricomycetes; Thelephorales; Thelephoraceae. The record is from RNAcentral.